RNAcentral lists this ribosomal RNA (756 nucleotides) under uncultured bacterium. RNAcentral describes it as "bacterial SSU rRNA". It matches the Rfam family "Bacterial small subunit ribosomal RNA", at positions 8 to 796 of the family's 1533-position model. The record is from RNAcentral.
AGAGUUUGAUCAUGGCUCAGAAUCAACGCUGGCGGCGNNCCUAACACAUGCAAGUCGAACGAGAAAGUGGAGCAAUCCAUGAGUACAGUGGCGUACGGGUGAGUAACACGUGGGUAAUCUACUUCUUAGUGGGGAAUAACCAGGGGAAACUCUGGCUAAUACCGCAUAAGCCUGAGAAGGGAAAGCAGCAAUGCGCUGAGAGAGGAGCCCGCGGCCGAUUAGCUAGUUGGUGGGGUAAGAGCCCACCAAGGCAGAGAUCGGUAGCCGGCCUGAGAGGGCACACGGCCACACUGGCACUGAAACACGGGCCAGACUCCUACGGGAGGCAGCAGUGGGGAAUCUUGCACAAUGGGGGAAACCCUGAUGCAGCGACGCCGCGUGAGCGAUGAANNCCUUCGGGGUGUAAAGCUCUUUCGUCAGGGACGAUAAUGACGGUACCUGGAGAAGCAGCUGCGGCUAACUACGUGCCAGCAGCCGCGGUAAUACGUAGGCAGCAAGCGUUGUUCGGAGUUACUGGGCGUAAAGGGUGUGUAGGCGGUUCUUUAAGUUUGGUGUGAAAUCUCCCGGCUCAACUGGGAGGGUGCGCCGAAUACUGAGGGACUAGAGUACGGGAGAGGAAAGUGGAAUUCCUGGUGUAGCGGUGAAAUGCGUAGAUAUCAGGAGGNNNNCCGGUGGUGUAGACGGCUUUCUGGACCGUAACUGACGCUGAGACACGAAAGCGUGGGUAGCAAACAGGAUUAGAUACCCUAGUAGUCC